Molecule: transfer RNA, 73 nt
Filed under: Deltaproteobacteria bacterium
Lineage: Bacteria; Pseudomonadati; Myxococcota; Myxococcia
Also listed under: 3 other names
Description: tRNA-Ala
Rfam family: tRNA
About the family: Transfer RNA (tRNA) molecules are approximately 80 nucleotides in length.
Source: RNAcentral
GGGGCUGUAGCUCAGCUGGGAGAGCGCUUGAAUGGCAUUCAAGAGGUCGUCGGUUCGAUCCCGAUCAGCUCCA